UGGCUCAGUUUCCUGGGGGUGGACUCAGCCUGUUCCACUUCCCCUCAGUCGAGCCUAAAGUAAAGAGGCCAGGUGUCUUCUUAUAUGGGAGAGAUGUUUAAGAAAGGAACCUUACCUGGGCUGUCCUAGCCUCACAUUU
Molecule: non-coding RNA, 139 nt
Organism: Ictidomys tridecemlineatus (thirteen-lined ground squirrel)
Lineage: Eukaryota; Metazoa; Chordata; Mammalia; Rodentia; Sciuridae
Source: Ensembl